Molecule: long non-coding RNA, 694 nt
Organism: Hemiscyllium ocellatum (epaulette shark)
Lineage: Eukaryota; Metazoa; Chordata; Chondrichthyes; Orectolobiformes; Hemiscylliidae
Exons: 4
Source: RefSeq, a predicted model, not a curated record
GCGGCGGCCGUUAGGAAAAUGGCGCCGUGCGGCCCGGGGCAGACCCCCGUCACUGGUCACCGCCGCCUUCCUGGCGCAGCUGCUGUGUCACGGCCACACCGGCCGGCUGUACAGCAGGCAGGAGCCGGUGACCAUUCUGGAGGCGGAUGGGGUUAAGGGCCUGUUUGGGAACUGGUCGGCCGCCUGGGUGGUGGAGUUCUACUGGUCGUGGGGCGGCCCCUGUGUCAACUAUGGGGCCACCUGGAAGGUACUGGGCCCGGGAGGUGAAAGAAAAGGGGCAAAACCUACUUUUGAUGGACAAAUAAGGCUCACCGGAGGACCGGAAGGAGAUUUGUCCUCCUGCCAUUCGGAGCUCCCCUAUUGGUGAACGCGGAAGUUGGGCCAUGAGGUUCUGAAGUUCCUGCCCCUCCCCUCUCUCAAUGAAGAUUGAGCUUCACUCAGACUGCAGCUUCCUUCCUCUGUCCAACAUCUGGCCACCAGAAGCCUUCUCAGUACUCUACAAGUGACUUCACCAACAUCCUGUACACCUUCAACAUGAUGUCCCCACUCCUUUGUUCAAUGGUGUGAACAAUUAAGCUACCCGAUGAAGGAGCAGCGCACUGAAAGCUAGUGCUUCCAAAUAAAUCUGUUGGACGAUAACCCACUGUUGUGAUUUUUCAACCUUGUCCCACCUAGUCCAACAGCAGCACCUCCA